AGCUCCAAUAGCGUAUAUUAAAGUUGUUGCAGUUAAAAAGCUCGUAGUUGGAUUUCUGCAAAAGGCAUUCGGUCCGCUCUUAUAGAGUGUGCACUCGCUUUGACUUUUGCAUCCUUCUGGGGAACACUUCGGUGGAAUCCAGAUCUUUUACUUUGAGAAAAUUAGAGUGUUUCAAGCAGGCAUUUGCCUUGAAUACUGCAGCAUGGAAUAAUAAUAUAGGACUUAAGUUCUAUUUUGUUGGUUUCUAGGACUUGAGUAAUGAUUAAUAGGGACAGUUGGGGGCAUUCGUAUUUAACUGUCAGAGGUGAAAUUCUUAGAUUUGUUAAAGACGAACUACUGCGAAAGCAUUUGCCAAGGAUGUUUUCA
RNAcentral lists this ribosomal RNA (366 nucleotides) under uncultured eukaryote. RNAcentral describes it as "SSU rRNA". It matches the Rfam family "Eukaryotic small subunit ribosomal RNA", at positions 587 to 972 of the family's 1831-position model. The record is from RNAcentral.